RNAcentral lists this ribosomal RNA (265 nucleotides) under uncultured anaerobic ammonium-oxidizing bacterium. RNAcentral's name for it is "partial 16S ribosomal RNA". It matches the Rfam family "Bacterial small subunit ribosomal RNA", at positions 567 to 828 of the family's 1533-position model. The record is from RNAcentral.
AAGCACGUAGGUGGGUUUGUAAGUCAGAUGUGAAAGCCAUCUGUUCAACGGAAGAAUUGCAUCUGAAACUGCGAGUCUUGAGUGUAGGAGGGGAGAAUGGAACUUCUGGUGGAGCGGUGUAAUGCGUAGAUAUCAGAAGGAACGCCGGCGGCGAAAGCGAUUCUCUGGCCUAUUACUGACACUCAGUGUGCGAAAGCUAGGGGAGCAAACGGGAUUAGAUACCCCGGUAGUCCCAGCCGUAAACGAUGGGCACUAAGUAGAGGGG